RNAcentral lists this ribosomal RNA (253 nucleotides) under uncultured bacterium. RNAcentral's name for it is "partial 16S ribosomal RNA". It matches the Rfam family "Bacterial small subunit ribosomal RNA", at positions 524 to 776 of the family's 1533-position model. The record is from RNAcentral.
UACGAAGGGGGCUAGCGUUGCUCGGAAUUACUGGGCGUAAAGCGCACGUAGGCGGACUCUUAAGUCGGUGGUGAAAUCCUGGAGCUCAACUCCAGAACUGCCUUCGAUACUGGGAGUCUUGAGUCCGGGAGAGGUGAGUGGAACUGCGAGUGUAGAGGUGAAAUUCGUAGAUAUUCGCAAGAACACCAGUGGCGAAGGCGGCUCACUGGCCCGGUACUGACGCUGAGGUGCGAAAGCGUGGGGAGCAAACAGG